AAUUCUCAACCUUAUCAGCAAAAGCUGAUAGUGGCUUGGAUGUGGGGGUUUAUUUUGCUGGCUCCUUUAUCGAGGUCAGCUCCCCUUAAAUGCAUUAGCUGGUGCCCCGUGUGGACUUGUCUAUUGGUGUGAUAACUAUCUACGCCGUGGAUGUCUGCAAUCAAUAUGGGCUUAGCACUGCUUCUAACCGUCUGUUCAUUCGGACAAAAUACAAUGACA
Molecule: unclassified non-coding RNA, 219 nt
Filed under: uncultured Alnicola
Lineage: Eukaryota; Fungi; Basidiomycota; Agaricomycetes; Agaricales; Cortinariaceae
Description: sequence contains ITS2
Source: RNAcentral